Long non-coding RNA from Helianthus annuus (common sunflower), 549 nucleotides. RefSeq lists it as uncharacterized. The transcript has 3 exons. Lineage: Eukaryota; Viridiplantae; Streptophyta; Magnoliopsida; Asterales; Asteraceae. The record is from RefSeq and is a predicted model, not a curated record.
GGACCUAUCAUUUGGUAUCAGAGCCUCAGUGGCUCAUUUCAGUUUUCGGUUUGGUCGGGUCUUUACCUGAAAUCCGCCGGAGACGUAAAACACAUGCAGAUUUGUUUCAGGGAGUGUAGAUGUGUGGCGGCUAGGGUUUUCACCGCCAGUGAUGAAUCUGAGGUGACUAGUGGUAAAACUGAUGGUGGUUCUUUCUUCCAGCAAUAUAAGAUUUGGUGUUUUUAUUCUUCACUGAUGAUAAUUCAGAUCCGGCAAUUUUAUGAGAGAGAAACAAAGAAAGAACACAUAAAGGUUUUGUAGAGAUAGAGGUGAUCUGAGAAGAGGUCGUCGGUGAUAUUAGUGAGCUCGCCAGAUUCCGAUCGUGAUUUCAAUGGGUCGACUUGAUAUAAAUCAUGUUCUUCAUUCGGGAGCCAUCGAUGUUCUUUGGUUUGAUUCAGAAACCCAGUUUGUUUACUGGUGUGUUUUUUCAGUGGGUUGCGACUAUGAUGAUGGUUUGUCGUUCCGGUGGUGCUUCCGGCGACUCGGUUAGUUGGCAGCAGGUGUAGGAUG